UACGGAGGGUGCGAGCGUUAAUCGGAAUUACUGGGCGUAAAGCGUGCGUAGGCGGCUCGUUAAGUCAGAUGUGAAAGCCCUGGGCUCAACCUGGGAACUGCAUUUGAAACUGGCGAGCUAGAGUUUGAGAGAGGUAAGUGGAAUUUCAGGUGUAGCGGUGAAAUGCGUAGAGAUCUGAAGGAACACCAGUGGCGAAGGCGACUUACUGGCUUAAAACUGACGCUGAGGUACGAAAGCGUGGGUAGCAAACAGG
RNAcentral lists this ribosomal RNA (253 nucleotides) under uncultured bacterium. RNAcentral's name for it is "partial 16S ribosomal RNA". It matches the Rfam family "Bacterial small subunit ribosomal RNA", at positions 524 to 776 of the family's 1533-position model. RNAcentral also lists the same sequence under 1 other name. The record is from RNAcentral.